Molecule: ribosomal RNA, 421 nt
Filed under: uncultured bacterium
Lineage: Bacteria
Description: bacterial SSU rRNA
Rfam family: Bacterial small subunit ribosomal RNA
Source: RNAcentral
GAGGAAUAUUGCGCAAUGGACGAAAGUCUGACGCAGCCAUGCCGCGUGAAGGAUUGAAGGCCCUAUGGGUUGUAAACUUCUUUUGUAUAGGAAAAAACCCCUUUACGUGUAGAGGGCUGAUGGUACUAUAAGAAUAAGCACCGGCUAACUCCGUGCCAGCAGCCGCGGUAAUACGGAGGGUGCAAGCGUUAUCCGGAUUUAUUGGGUUUAAAGGGUCCGCAGGCGGACUAUUAAGUCAGUGGUGAAAGCCCACAGCUCAACUGUGGAAUUGCCAUUGAUACUGGUAGUCUUGAGUGCGUAUGAAGUUGGCGGAAUGUGUGGUGUAGCGGUGAAAUGCUUAGAUAUCACACAGAACACCGAUUGCGAAGGCAGCUGACUAAUACGUUACUGACGCUCAGGGACGAAAGUGUGGGGAUCAAAC